This 301-nucleotide ribosomal RNA is filed under the name uncultured bacterium. RNAcentral's name for it is "partial 16S ribosomal RNA". It matches the Rfam family "Bacterial small subunit ribosomal RNA", at positions 509 to 807 of the family's 1533-position model. The record is from RNAcentral.
CAGCCGCCACGGUAAUACGUAGGGUGCAAGCGUUAAUCGGAAUUACUGGGCGUAAAGCGUGCGCAGGCGGUUAUAUAAGACAGAUGUGAAAUCCCCGGGCUCAACCUGGGAACUGCAUUUGUGACUGUAUAGCUAGAGUACGGCAGAGGGGGAUGGAAUUCCGUGUGUAGCAGUGAAAUGCGUAGAUAUGCGGAGGAACACCGAUGGCGAAGGCAAUCCCCUGGGCCUGUACUGACGCUCAUGCACGAAAGCGUGGGGAGCAAACAGGAUUAGAUACCCCCGUAGUCCCUGUCUCUUAUAC